AUAUGAAAAGGGCAAACUUAUUGAAAGGUAAGGACGCAAAGCCAAGGGCCUAAGUUCUGAAAGUAACAUGGCAGCCGGUUGCAUAA
RNAcentral lists this non-coding RNA (86 nucleotides) under Andreesenella formicacetica. RNAcentral's name for it is "Clostridium formicaceticum c-di-GMP sequence". It matches the Rfam family "c-di-GMP-I riboswitch aptamer". Rfam says of the family: GEMM was predicted in a large-scale screen for bacterial structured RNA regulatory elements. Genes associated with GEMM are involved in a diverse array of functions, including chemotaxis regulation, signal transduction, secretion and chitin. The record is from RNAcentral. Lineage: Bacteria; Bacillati; Bacillota; Clostridia; Peptostreptococcales; Natronincolaceae.